CCUACGGGGCGCACCAGUGGGGAAUAUUGCACAAUGGGCGCAAGCCUGAUGCAACCAUGCCGCGUGUAUGAAGAAGGCCUUCGGGUUGUAAAGUACUUUCAGCGGGGAGGAAGGCGAUAAGGUUAAUAACCUUGUCGAUUGACGUUACCCGCAGAAGAAGCACCGGCUAACUCCGUGCCAGCAGCCGCGGUAAUACGGAGGGUGCAAGCGUUAAUCGGAAUUACUGGGCGUAAAGCGCACGCAGGCGGUCUGUCAAGUCGGAUGUGAAAUCCCCGGGCUCAACCUGGGAACUGCAUUCGAAACUGGCAGGCUAGAGUCUUGUAGGGGGGGGUAGAAUUCCAGGUGUAGCGGUGAAAUGCGUAGAGAUCUGGAGGAAUACCAGUGGCGAAGGCGGCCCCCUGGACAAAGACUGACGCUCAGAUGCGAAAGCGUGGGGAGCAAACAGGAUUAGAUACCCCAGUAGUC
This 465-nucleotide ribosomal RNA is filed under the name uncultured bacterium. RNAcentral describes it as "bacterial SSU rRNA". It matches the Rfam family "Bacterial small subunit ribosomal RNA", at positions 338 to 795 of the family's 1533-position model. The record is from RNAcentral.